Molecule: long non-coding RNA, 445 nt
Organism: Amphimedon queenslandica
Lineage: Eukaryota; Metazoa; Porifera; Demospongiae; Haplosclerida; Niphatidae
Exons: 3
Source: RefSeq, a predicted model, not a curated record
UCUCUUUUUCUCUCUCCCUCCAGACAGCUACUGUAUUAGCUAAGCAGUUAGUUAAACUAAGACAACAGAAAACUAAAUCUUAUGGACUGAGUGCUACCAUUACAGCAACAGGACACCAAAUGAAAGCAAUGCAGUCCCAGGUUGCUAUGACAAAGGACAUUAAAGGCAAUGGCAUCAAUGAACAAACAAGUGAAACUUGAAGACAUUCAACGGACAAUGCAACAAUUUCAAAAAGAAUCAACUAAAAUGGAAUGACGGAGAAUUGAUGAUGAUACUAGGCCAUGUGAAUCAUUGCAUUUGGCUGGUGCUAAGGUUGCAGGUGGUAAGAAGAUAAUUAAAGAAUUAACCAGUACUGAGCAAGACUAGCUAGCUAAUAAUUUGCAUGCUUUCACGUGAUGAUUUUUCAUAAUAAAUAUCCCAUCAACUCUUUGUCCAGGCCCCCAAA